GAUGAAGAACGCAGCGAAAUGCGAUAAGUAGUGUGAAUUGCAGAAUUCAGUGAAUCAUCGAAUCUUUGAACGCACAUUGCGCCCCUUGGUAUUCCAUGGGGCAUGCCUGUUCGAGCGUCAUUUGUACCUUCAAGCUUUGCUUGGUGUUGGGUGUUUGUCUCGCCUUUGCGUGUAGACUCGCCUUAAAAUAAUUGGCAGCCGGCGUAUUGAUUUCGGAGCGCAGUACAUCUCGCGCUUUGCACUCAUAACGACAGCGUCCAAAAGUACAUUUUACACUCUUGACCUCGGAUCAGGUAGGGAUACCCGCUGAACUUAAGCAUAUCAAUAAGCGGAGAA
Molecule: unclassified non-coding RNA, 336 nt
Filed under: soil metagenome
Description: partial contains 5.8S ribosomal RNA, internal transcribed spacer 2, and large subunit ribosomal RNA
Rfam family: 5.8S ribosomal RNA (bases 1-120)
Source: RNAcentral